CCUACGGGAGGCAGCAGUGAGGAAUAUUGGUCAAUGGGCGCGAGCCUGAACCAGCCAAGUAGCGUGAAGGAUGACUGCCCUACGGGUUGUAAACUUCUUUUAUAAAGGAAUAAAGUGAGGCACGUGUGCCUUUUUGUAUGUACUUUAUGAAUAAGGAUCGGCUAACUCCGCGCCAGCAGCCGCGGUAAUACGGAGGAUCCGAGCGUUAUCCGGAUUUAUUGGGUUUAAAGGGAGCGUAGAUGGGUUGUUAAGUCAGUUGUGAAAGUUUGCGGCUCAACCGUAAAAUUGCAAUUGAUACUGGCAGCCUUGAGUACAGUUGAGGUAGGCGGAAUUCGUGGUGUAGCGGUGAAAUGCUUAGAUAUCACGAAGAACCCCGAGUGCGAAGGCAGCUUACUAAACUGUGACAGACAUUGAUGCUCGAAAGUGUGGGUAUCAAACAGGAUUAGAUACCCUGGUAGUC
This 460-nucleotide ribosomal RNA is filed under the name uncultured bacterium. Its description in RNAcentral is "partial 16S ribosomal RNA". It matches the Rfam family "Bacterial small subunit ribosomal RNA", at positions 338 to 795 of the family's 1533-position model. The record is from RNAcentral.